UAUUUAAAAAAAGAUGUAUAAAAAAAAUACCUCAACAAUAGUAAUAUGAAAAUUAUUCAAAACCAUCAGUUGUAUGGAUAUUGUCCACAGAAAGAGCAAUUAUAAAUGAUUGGAAAAGUAAUUGCGAGGAAACCGACAAACAUUGCGAAGUUCGUGACUAUCUUUGCUUACGCAUACGUGCGAAGUUCAUGCUCUUUCUUAUCCUAUCAUCAUUAUCAUCGUAGUAAACUGUUGCCGCAGUUACUUCCUUGUAAGCCUUUAUUGGCGGUAGCGAAUGGCAGCACACAAAUAAGCAACUUCUCUUAUCAAGGACCUAAGCAUGAGUCAUGUUCUGAGUUCUUGCUAAAAACGUUAACAGCGAGGCUAAUGCCCGUCGAAUACAAAUGGUAGAGAGCUGUUUUGGCAGCUCAGGGCAACCAUUGUAUGUUCCAGGCCGAGUGCUGGUAGGAGAAGGCGUUCUAACGAAGAUGUGUCGCAAACGUCCCAAGGCGCGACAAUUUUUCCUAUUCAAUGACAUCCUGGUCUACGGGAACAUAGUUAUCGGCAAAAAGAAAUAUAACAAACAACAUCUGAUACCGCUGGAAGAGGUACAACUGCAAGCCCUCGAAGAUAAUGGACAGUACAGGAACGGCUGGCUAAUACGAACCGCUACGAAAUCGUUUGCCGUCUAUGCAGCUACACAAACGGAAAAACAAGAAUGGAUGGCACAUAUAAAUAAAUGCAUCGAAGAUUUGUUACGAAAAAGUGGUAAAAAACCGGUGGAAAACCACGCAGCCGUUUGGGUGCCCGAUAGUGAAGCAAACAUAUGCAUGCAUUGCAAGAAAACUCAAUUCACAAUGCUGAUUCGAAGGCAUCACUGUCGAAAUUGCGGUGCUGUGGUCUGUGGGCCAUGUUCUUCGAAGAAAUUCCUUCUACCAGGACAGAGCAGCAAACCGUUGCGCGUUUGUUUGGACUGCUUCGAUAACCUUAGCUCUAUGAAAAGGGAGGAGAACAAGGGAUUAAACGCCAAUAACAACAAGCCUGUUACGUCCCCAGAAAGCUCUGGUGAUGAUGAUUCGGACGAUGAAGAAGAACCGAAAGAAUCACAUGAUCAGAGCUUUCGAAGUCACUGUACGCCAGCAGUCGUGUGUGUAUGAUAGGAGCAAGCAUCGUGUAAAACCGACAGUCGAAUAAAGAAACCACUCCGCUUCAUUCGCCACGUUCUGAAUCCUUGAUAACGAAAAAUCGAAGCAGCAGGAGCCGGCAAGCCUAGUGAUAUACUUAAAAAAUUUAUAAUAUGUUUUCGUUAGAACAGCCUGAAACAAGGUGACCAAAGUUGACCUACACCAAAAUUCUAUGGUGACGAAAAACCAGAAAAAUAGCCGUAGUGACGCGGAAAAGCAAUCCUCCCACAAAAGAAGCCAGAUUCGCAAAGAAGUCUCACCAAUAGUAAAUUAUAAGUGAAUAAAACAUAAUUUAUUCAUUAUAAAACCCCGCAAGAACAGUCCAGAUAAAUGUAAAACGAAUUUUAAAACUAUUCUCAUUCUACUUUCCUUUAUUGCAUUACCUUGAAAGCAUAUAUCGAAUAUAUCAACAGCUGAUAAUUACUUACAGAGAAAACCAUUUAUUAGUUGAAAUAUCUUCGUGAAUUAAUAAGAUAAGAUCGACACAUUUGUGUUUUAUAGUCUACCGUAAACACCUUUUCAAACAUUGUAGAGAAAGAAUAAAUUCUACAGAAACAAGAACAAACUAUUUGGGGUACAAAGUAUGUCCUGUGAUCCACUUCUCCGAAAAAAAGAAUGUAAAUGGUAUUCAGUUAGAUACCACAGUUAUUAGAAAUCUAUUUUGAACUGUUAUUCGAUCACAUCGUGGAUUGUGGAUAGAACGAAGCUUUUCACAUCUUUCCGUUUCAGCAGUUUUAGAAAAGUUGAAAAUGAUUAUUACUAGAUGAUAAACGAAAGAUCCAAGCAUGAUACAACAGGUCUACAGAAUCGUUAUUGUAAUAUCGGAAUUCAGUCGACAACUUGUCUCGACUCGCAAUGAGCCUAGAUCUUCAAUCAGAAUAUUAUAAUUUUUAUUUUUAUUCCUAUGGUAAGUAAAUCGGAUAAAAGAUGUAUAUGGAAUAUAUUUAAGCUUAUCAAUGAAAUAUAAAAAAUUGCUCACAUUUUCAAAA
Armigeres subalbatus is the source of this 2152-nucleotide RNA transcript. It is a transcript of the gene named pleckstrin homology domain-containing family F member 1 homolog, with no coding region annotated. The record is from RefSeq and is a predicted model, not a curated record. NCBI's taxonomy places the organism in Eukaryota, Metazoa, Arthropoda, Insecta, Diptera, Culicidae. The transcript is spliced from 8 exons.